GCGAGAGAAAGCGGGCAGCCGCCGCGAGAGAAAUAUCGAGAGGAAAGGGGGUCCACGCCAGCUGCGAGGUAAAUAUCUCAUCUCUCUCUGCCUCCUCCUCUUCUCCAUGCCGCCGCCGCCUCCUCCUCCCCCGCGACCCUGCCUCCUCCUUUCCUUUCCUCGAUGUCGAUGGCGGCACGGGGGAGCUCGUGGUCAGGCGGAGUCCUUUCCCGCGUCCAUCCCGGCGGGGCCGGCGACCUGCAGCCAAAGGGUGACGGCGGCUAGGAGACAGAGAAUAUGAGAGGGGGAGAGAAGAGGAAGGGGGCGAGGGAGAAAGAGAGAGGUUGCUGCGCGGGGUGGUUUCGGAUUGGGUGCAGGUCGCGGCCAUGGGCGAGCAGGGGUGCUGUGGUUUUUGUGAUGGGAUCCGACAAGGUGCGGCUGGUGGUGGGGCCCCAUGGGGCGCGGUGGCCACCGCACGGGAAUGGGGGCUACUACCGGGUGCUGGUGCGGAGCGACCUCCAGCGGCAGAAGCCGGCGACAUCUUCUCUCCCGGCAACGGUUUCGGCUGGUGCGUCACGCUCGCUCCCCCGCCUCGGCGGCUCGGCCGUCGGGUCUUGCUGCAUUCCUCAGCACCUUUUACUGUUGCAUUUGGCCAGUGACAAGUUCUGUGAAAAGAAUUGCUACAUUGUUAUUACAGUAACUGCUGACAUUGAGAUCUUGGCUGCUACUUGUAUGUACCAGUUCAGGAACUCGUAUUAUGCGUUACUACAAUCAGCCAAGUGAUUUGUUUUCUAAUUUUUAGUAUCAUGUUGUCCUUAAACUUGAGAUUUCUGCAGCGUUUCCUUUAAACUACGGCUCUCUGUUAUUCUAUCAAGGUACUAUUCUAACCUCUGUAUUAGAGAGAAUUGUUCUUUGACGCCAAGGAAUUUUUCUUGUUAAUAACAAUCAUAAUUCUCUGUUACUUUUUUCAGUGCUAGCGUCCCGCAACCUUAAAGCCCACAGCCGACCAACAGAUGCAACAUAGAUAAAAAGGUGUUCAUAGGAUAGUUCAAACUGGAACUGAAGCCGAUCUAUUCUUGUCCCAUGAAAACCUAGCUUUAUUCCAUUUCCACCGUCUGAUUUCGUCAUGGAAGCAUGGGGAUGGAUGUUUGAAAAUGUGCAUAAUAUGUGACAUCUUUGCCCAUGUGCAUUUCAUACAAAAAGAGGUCACAAUAGAGCUGAGCCGCCACAAAAGAGUUUUGUUGAGCUUAGAGAUAUGGAUCCUUGUGAAACAGAGGAGAAGGUCCGGUCCUCAACCCCUUUGAAAAAACUAUAAGCAGCGGCCAUACAGUUCAGAACAGACUUAAUCUGAUCGACAAAGUGUAAAAAGCCAAGUCUUGCUCGACAAAGUGUAAAAAGCCAGGGUAUCAUUUAUAUAGUUAUUUGGAAUGCAUGGUUAGGAAUUAGAGGUCCUCUGGUGCCUCUAAUGUCGCUCAGCUUGCACGUGGGAUUACAAAUGGCCAUAGGUUGCCCACUGCAACAGCCUUGUUGUUUUCUUGUAGCAAGGGACUACCAAAGAAGAAGAGAUGAUGCGGGUUCAGAAUCUGACAAUAUCUGUGUUAGUGCUGGCAGAUCCAAAGACAGAAAGAAACAGACAGUUUCACACACUAGCAACCGUAGGAUCAUUUUCAAAAAGCCUACCGUGAUGGAAAAAAUCAGAAUCCCAACAAAAGUGCUUUUCGAUGCUAUGAUGCAGCAGCUAGGUCUCCCAAAUGCAGUGUACUCAAUACAGAAGGCAAGAGCAAUUGGUCUUCAUACAACUAUUCACUUCUAUCCCUCCAAGUAUCAACUGGAUAACAAAUCUUCCAGGAUAGUCAAUAUCAAUCCAUGUAGCCAACAAACUAUAAGAUGUUGAAGACCAACUAGCAAACGAAGCUCUCAAGUACAUGAAAAGCAUCCAUAGUAAAGUGCUACAGGACAUAAACUACGACAACAUGCAGCUGCUCCAGCAAAAGUGUGAACCUCUUGAGCAUCAGCAGAAAGGAAAACACAACCUAAUAUACUAUUUUAGCAACAGCUGGUGCCAUAGCCUCGGUGGAGAUCACAUGCCAGUGAAGGAACUUUACUAUAUAAUAGAUAGCAACUUCACAGCCGGAUCAACAUCCAAAGACAAUGAUCUGAAUCAUAUUUUGUCGCAAGUAAGAUAUGUUGUUGAUCGUCUCAGUGAUACAGCCACACAAUCAGAUUAUGAUCUCCAAUAGACAAACAAGUACUAUUGGAGCCAGGAUGAUGAUGUUGAAGGAAUUUCUGCUAUGAACAAUGAAAACAUUCAAUCGCAACCACUAUGAACAAUUGCCUGAACGCCGAUGAAACAUCCACCAAUCACACUGGAUAUGCAUGCCGAUGAAACAUCCACCAAUCACACUGGAGAUGUAUCUCUGCCUAUCUACCUUCCUUCCUAAUAGCAUUGUAAAUAUUCCAUCUGCCUAUCUACCUUCCUUCUUAAUAGCAUUGUAAAUAUUCCAUCGUAAGCUUCU
This is a long non-coding RNA of Triticum aestivum (bread wheat), 2495 nucleotides long. RefSeq lists it as uncharacterized. NCBI's taxonomy places the organism in Eukaryota, Viridiplantae, Streptophyta, Magnoliopsida, Poales, Poaceae. The transcript is spliced from 7 exons. The record is from RefSeq and is a predicted model, not a curated record.